GAGCACUUUUAAAGGUUUGAUUGUGUUUAAAAUUCACGCUCGUGAACGGGGCUCCUCCCCCUCCGCUGACCAAUGUUAGAAGACUUUUCAUUGGCCAGUGUUGAAUGCUGGGCUGACAACUUCCGCCCUCGCGUGAUGACAGCCGACACUGAACUACUCAACACCGGGGAAACGGCUGUGACUGAAGGCUACGAGAAGGCACUCUAGGCUUGUGUGCCAAUAUCUGCCAUUCCUUCCUGUCACAAAUGGGUGCUUGAACAACGUGCUGCUGGGAAAGGCUUGUCCACAGUGCAGUUAAGUCUCCACACACAGGUGGUUGCCAAGGCGAUGAAUAUAAAUGACUUUGCGGGGGAGCCUUCUUGGUGUUACCGCUUCAUACAACGCAACUGCUUCUCCAGCAGAAAGGCCAGAAUAAUAACUGGGACUGAUGGUUAGCAGCCAUGCAGGAGAGGAGGCGACGCCGCCUCUGUCCUCUACUUCCGGAGGUGUUCAGAAGUGACACAGAGGAUGGAGAAGUCAGUGGAUUUGGUAGUGAUUUGAGAUACAACAGUCGCACGACAAAGCGGCGGCAGCUUCAAAAAAAAACCUUGGGGAAACCCUGAAGGCUCUCCUCGCCAUCUUCCAUAGGCCAACAAGUCUUCCAUAACGGGGUGCAUGUUCCAUACAGCGGGACAAUGCAGCACAACGUCACCGCAGACCCAGCGGAGGAUGCACGGAUCGAACACUAACCUCUGAUCGGACGACUGGAGCGAGGAUAACUGCUGAUUUUUGCUGAGAGGAGGGGCUCCUUCCUGCCUCGGCUUUCUGGUUCCGUUCUCGGGGUGGAACAACUUGUGCCUCACUGCUGCCAGCUGGGAAGUAGUUGGAGAUGGUUGCUUCAUAUGGUGCUAGGAUACAUUUGCCUCUCAGCGCCCCUCUCCCUCCCCCCAGUAAAGUCGUUCGUGAUUGGCUGCCGUCCCACUUUGCGUUCUACUUACUCUGCAUCCUUUCUGGCCCUCUAGUGGUCAUAUUAUUCGUAAACAACUUUUCUGCUGAAGCCCCAAAUGAUGGAUUACGCAACAAUGUGUUUUCUAUGGUGGCUGACGGGCAACAAAAGUUGUGAAGCUCUACCACCACGGUGACGAUGACGGGCUUCAGAUGUGGUGCGGGCAACUAUUGCUGUGGCGGGCCACGUUUACCGUCAGUGAAGACGACAUUCGAGUCACACUCCAGUUUGAUGGCGAUGUUGUGACCAACUUCUCAACUGACACAAACACUUACGUUGAAGACAUUUUUCAUUUAGCAUUUAUGUUCUGUCAUUCUUUCUGGAUCUUUUUUCCCACGUUGACAGGUUUCAAUUUGUCAUUUUCAAAUACUAUAUAACCUUAACACUGAUUACACAAAUGAAUCU
Long non-coding RNA from Dunckerocampus dactyliophorus (ringed pipefish), 1390 nucleotides. RefSeq lists it as uncharacterized. The record is from RefSeq and is a predicted model, not a curated record. The transcript is spliced from 5 exons. NCBI's taxonomy places the organism in Eukaryota, Metazoa, Chordata, Actinopteri, Syngnathiformes, Syngnathidae.